Molecule: small RNA, 1499 nt
Filed under: Vigna angularis var. angularis
Lineage: Eukaryota; Viridiplantae; Streptophyta; Magnoliopsida; Fabales; Fabaceae
Description: Non-protein coding transcript
Source: RNAcentral
AGGAAGUCUCACAGGUAUCAAUUAUCUGAAAAGAAUUAAAAUUAUUUUGGACACAGAAUUUAAACUUCUGUUUAUAAUACCAUGGAUUAAAAGAUAGGAAAGAUUCACAUAUCAUGAUAAAAUCAUAGAUAAUAGGGUUUAAUUCUUUUACACCCCACCAACUACUCUACAAAAUAACCAAGAGAACAGAACAAAUCAAACCCCUGUAGAUCCAAACCCACCCUCACCCCUCACAGUUUCAUCUAAAUCAUCAACCUCAGUAACACUGGGAGUGACAAUCUUCUCAAUGAUAAGUUGCGCAACCCUAUCUCCAACCUUCACUUCAAAAUCCACAUCGGAAUGGUUGAACAGUAUAACACCAACCGGUCCCCUGUAGUCCGCAUCAAUCACUCCUGCACCGACGUCGAUCGAGUGCUUCCACGCCAACCCGGAUCGGGGAGCUGCAAUUUAAUACAAAAAGCAAAUUAAACUAUAAAGGUAAAAGCCAUAAGAAUUGUGCAUGACUUUAAUCGGAGAGAAACUUACCAACGCGUGCAUAGGUCCCUUCUGGAAUCGCGAUGCUGAUGUCAGUGGCUACCAGAGCCUUCCCUCUGGCAGGCACCUUUGUCUCGACCGCGCUAUCAAAAUAUCACAUCAGGUUUCAGUGAUUUAUUAAUUAAAAGCAGUGAAUGAUGAGAGAGCAAAGUGUGCAGUUAUACCUAGAGAGAUCGUAACCGGCGGAGAGAGGGGAAGCCCUGGAGGGCAAAACGGCCUUAUCGGAGAGCUUUUUGACGCGUAGAAAGGGAGGGGUUGAGGAAACGUCGUCGUUUUGGUGGAGUUUUGGGAUUUUGGGCGAUGGCUGGCAGGAGCCGUUGGUGGCGUGGGAGUCUGGUUGAGGUUGAGCCAUUAUAUAAACUGGGCGAUUACUGCUAAUGGAUAGAAUUGACGCGGGAAGAAGGGAUGGAGGGUAGGGUUUAUAUAGAGGAGGAGGAAGAGGAACAGAAAAGGCGCCCAAUGCUCUCAUGGCACCAAAUUUUCCCGCCUUUUUGUUUCUCGUGGGGUUUGAAUGGUCAAGAUUUAUACGGCACUGUCAGAAGCAUUGAGGACACGUUUAUUCUUCAUCCAUCCCUCCUAUACUAUUAUUAAAUUGCCUUACCUAUAUACUUAAUUAUUAUUUUAUUUAUGUUCACCUCCCAUUUUAUUUAUUCGUUCUGCUAAAUUUUUAUUUAUUAGAUGCAACUACUUGUAGCAGAAUUGCGGACUGCUAUAUUUUCUAAGGUUGCACCGUCAACAAUUCGAUUAGUAUCAAGAAAGGUUGCACUGUCAACAAUUCGAUUAGUAUCAAGGAAGGUCUUCUCACAUUUGCAUGACCUUGACCUUCGGUAUCAUCUAAGUUCAUAUUCCCUUAAUUUUGGUUAGAUGGAGUUUAUAUAUAGAUGAGAAUCAUAACACAAGCAUCUUUACAAAUCCACCCAGUCAUCCACUGAAACUCAACUCCGUAGGGAUUGACCCAUCAGCUG